CAGGGCGCCCGGCCGGGCGCCCUGACGGGGCGAGGGAGGCCGCGCCGGCGCCCGCCACCGCCUCAGGGCCGGGGCCGACGGCCCUCGCCCCUGAGGGGGAACUCGCCUGGCAGCGGGGGAGGGAAGGGCCGGGGCGCGGCCGGUCUGAGGGGCGUAGAUUAGGGCGGCAGUGGGGGCUUAGCAGCUGCUCUCCUCCUCACCCCCGGCGCUCGGAGAAGCUCCCUCCCAACCUCUUGGUAUUAUAUCCGUUAUUAAGGUACCUGUAAGCCCACAGGGCGUCUUCUCAGUAACAAGAGGUGUCCCCGGCCCUCGCCGGCCUCCGGUGUUGUACCGGAGUAACGGAGACAAGCUUUUGCUUGUCUUUCCCGUUUUUCAGGCCCUUGCCUUGGAGUGUCGCAGCGUUGCAACAUGCAGGGUUUGGUUUAGUACGUUUUAGCCGCGCAGAGCGUUUCUGUUCUUUUUAAUUAAUUGGCAGGCAUUGUGUUUGAGCCACUCAGUAUGGUUAUUUUUUAAAAAAAUAACGCGUUUAGGAGGCAGCCUACGUCUUGAGCAGAAGGUGUUUUAAAACCAGAUUUUAAGUCUUCUGCUGCAUGGUCUGAACGCUUCCCUUGUACGUAUGCUAUCCUAGGGGUUAAUCCAGGUUCUGCUUUUUCAAAACACUGUAUUCAGAAAGUAUUAGAUUUUGUAAUUAGCCUGCAAAGAUCCUAAAUAACCAAAACCACAAGGGAUUCACUCACUAUAUGCCUAGCUCAUUUAACACUAAGCUUGAUUACACCAGACUACAAAGACAGCGCAAAGAAGGAACACUGGUACCUGGCAAGAAAGGAGACUUCCUAUCUUUCCCACCAAUGCAGCCCGUGCCAGCCAUGCUGUACAUCUGUUGCAAAAGAAAGCAGACAGGCACAUUGUGUGGUUUAAACAAAGCUGAGGAUCUUGGCAGACAAUCACUGAAGUAAGCUCCCUCUGGAACACUAUGCCUCAAAGCGAU
Aquila chrysaetos chrysaetos is the source of this 988-nucleotide long non-coding RNA. Lineage: Eukaryota; Metazoa; Chordata; Aves; Accipitriformes; Accipitridae. The record is from Ensembl.